GCCCGGUUAGCUCAAUCGGUAGAGCGUGAGACUCUUAAGUGUACAUGAAAUCUCAAGGUUGCGGGUUCGACCCCCGCAUCGGGCU
Molecule: non-coding RNA, 85 nt
Organism: Claviceps pazoutovae
Lineage: Eukaryota; Fungi; Ascomycota; Sordariomycetes; Hypocreales; Clavicipitaceae
Source: the annotation of a GenBank genome assembly